This 254-nucleotide ribosomal RNA is filed under the name uncultured bacterium. Its description in RNAcentral is "partial 16S ribosomal RNA". It matches the Rfam family "Bacterial small subunit ribosomal RNA", at positions 524 to 776 of the family's 1533-position model. The record is from RNAcentral.
GACGUAGGAGGCGAGCGUUAUCCGGAUUCACUGGGCGUAAAGCGCAUGUAGGCGGAUGUCUAAGUCGUGUGUUAAAGCCCCUGGCUCAACUGGGGGAGGUCAUGCGAGACUGGAUGACUUGAGGGCAACAGAGGCACGUGGAACUCCCGGUGUAGCGGUGGAAUGCGUAGAGAUCGGGAAGAACACCCGUGGCGAAGGCGGCGUGCUGGGUUGCAACUGACGCUGAGAUGCGAAAGUGUGGGGGAGCAAACGGG